This 676-nucleotide ribosomal RNA is filed under the name Exiguobacterium artemiae. RNAcentral describes it as "bacterial SSU rRNA". It matches the Rfam family "Bacterial small subunit ribosomal RNA", at positions 37 to 688 of the family's 1533-position model. Lineage: Bacteria; Bacillati; Bacillota; Bacilli; Caryophanales. The record is from RNAcentral.
UGGCGGGUGCCUAUACUGCAAGUCGAGCGCAGGAAGCUCACGGAACUCUUCGGAGGGAAGUGAAGGGAAUGAGCGGCGGACGGGUGAGUAACACGUAAGGAACCUGCCCCAAGGAUUGGGAUAACUCCGAGAAAUCGGAGCUAAUACCGAAUAGUUCUUCAGACCGCAUGGUCUGAUGAUGAAAGGCGCUCCGGCGUCACCUUGGGAUGGCCUUGCGGUGCAUUAGCUAGUUGGUGGGGUAAUGGCCCACCAAGGCGACGAUGCAUAGCCGACCUGAGAGGGUGAUCGGCCACACUGGGACUGAGACACGGCCCAGACUCCUACGGGAGGCAGCAGUAGGGAAUCUUCCACAAUGGACGAAAGUCUGAUGGAGCAACGCCGCGUGAGUGAUGAAGGUUUUCGGAUCGUAAAACUCUGUUGUAAGGGAAGAACAAGUACGAGAGGUAAUGCUCGUACCUUGACGGUACCUUGCGAGAAAGCCACGGCUAACUACGUGCCAGCAGCCGCGGUAAUACGUAGGUGGCAAGCGUUGUCCGGAAUUAUUGGGCGUAAAGCGCGCGCAGGCGGCCUUUUAAGUCUGAUGUGAAAGCCCCCGGCUCAACCGGGGAGGGUCAUUGGAAACUGGAAGGCUUGAGUACAGAAGAGAAGAGUGGAAUUCCAUGUGUAGCGUGAAAUG